UUAUGAAAUUUUUGGAGAAUACAAAGAUUUGAGAGACCUUUGGGGCAUCCAAAAAUCAAAAAGAAAGACCUUUAGGUCAUGGAGAUAUAAUAGACACAAAACAAGGUAUCUAGGAGAGAGUAAAGAGAAGAAGAAGAGGGUCUUCUUCUAGGGUUGUUAGUUUCAUCUCUUCCCUUCCUCCAUCUUGAGUUUUCUGAGAGCAUCUUAGAUCUAAAACUCCUACUUUUCAUCUUUUGAAGAGUCCAAAUCAAGAAGAAAGAGAAGAAGGAUCAGCGCAGUACUAGCAUACUGUGCUGAUUUCUUGAAGUAGGACUUCUGGUCGAGAUUCGUGGGCUCAUGUGGAUGACUCCUAAAGAUCGGAUGCAUGUGCGGUUUGCAACAUCAUCCUCAAACCCGAAUCAGUAAGGUUAGAAUGUCUAACUUGCAAGGUAAUAGAUCUGAUCUAUUGUUUAACACAUACAUUAGAUGUAGUAUAGAAACAUGUUGAUAUGAUCAACAUAUGUUUAUGCUCUAUAUAUUUUAAUUUUUGAUUUAAUACUAUGUAAUAAUCAUGUAAUAGAAUCUUAGAUCUAGAGAUUCUCUGAUUUUAAAAAAUAAAUUUUGAUUUAUUUUAAUCUUCCGCUAUUUGAUCUUGAAAAAGUUUCAAGAUCUAAUCCUGAAACCCUAGAUCAGGUUCCUUCAGACCUAUCUUGACAUGGGUGUGUCUUGCUUAUGAGCAUAAAUUCAAAUCAAUUAAAAUAUUCAAAUGAUUCUGUAAUGAGAUAGAAAAAUAAACUAUAAAUAGUAUUAAAACUCAUCGAUCGACUGAUGAAGUGAAUACCUUUAUAGUAAGUUUUGACAUAUCUUAGAGAAAAUUAGAUUCUCUCUUAAUGGACCUCUCCUAGGACAUCACUAUUUUAAAAAAACGUCUGAAAGAGAGAAUUAAAACUUGUUAGACAUGCUUCAAUCCAUUGUGGGGUUGGCCGGUCUGCCUGAGAUUAUGUUUUAGAGACUACUUGAUAUGUGCUCAGAACAUUUUGAGCAAAUCAGUCACCAAAAACUUCAUAUGGGAUAUGGACUUAGAUAAUUCGAUAUUUUCUUACUUUAAUAUUUGGGGUGUCAAGCUUAUGUGAAAUAUUCACAAACCGACUAAUUUGGAUCUUGGUCUGAUAAAUAUUAUAUUAAGGAUAUUUUUUCUACCUUCUUGAUGGACAUGAGAUGUUCAUGAAUCUUAAGGUAUUCUUUUUGAAAAAGAAAUUUUUUGAUGAAGGAACUGAUGCUGCUAAGACCAAGCUUGAUGAAACUUGAUAGGUAGAGGAACCAACUCUGACACAAACCAACAGAACCAAAGUUAAUUAGAUCAAAUUCGGAGUCCGAUGUAAAGGCAUCUUUGAGUAGAUAUAGUAGAGUACCAUAUCAAUCAAACAAAUACUUCAAUUUCUAGAUUCAGGAUGGAAAUUUGAUCUCCCAUACGGAUGCUAUACAGGGAUUUAACUUUGAGAAGUGGCUUGGAGCCAUUAAAUCUGAAAUGAAGUCCAUCAAGAUCGACGAUGUAUGGACAUUCGUUGAUUCACCUGAAGGGAUAAGACCCAUAAGGUGUGAGUAGAUUUCAGAUGGAUAAGAGACAUAGACAGAAAGGUGGAGAUCUAUUAAUUUUGUCCGAUUGUCAAAAGAUUUCAUCAAAGUUAUAGUGUUGACUAUGAUGAAAUAUUUUCCUUACGGUAAUCCUU
This 1709-nucleotide long non-coding RNA is filed under the name Elaeis guineensis (African oil palm). RNAcentral describes it as "long non-coding RNA (EGUI_LNC039980)". The record is from RNAcentral. Lineage: Eukaryota; Viridiplantae; Streptophyta; Magnoliopsida; Arecales; Arecaceae.